This 1702-nucleotide long non-coding RNA is filed under the name Phoenix dactylifera (date palm). RNAcentral's name for it is "long non-coding RNA (PDAC_LNC001234)". Lineage: Eukaryota; Viridiplantae; Streptophyta; Magnoliopsida; Arecales; Arecaceae. The record is from RNAcentral.
CUAUAAACGAUGAUUACUUUGCCCUCUCAGUAACAGUUGUUUGUUACGCAUCAAUUCUACGAUCCUAGAUUGUCAAGGUACCUAGGAAUGACUCGUUGUCCAACACGAAUGGGUUACCUUUAGUGGGCUUAAUUCACAAAGGCUUUUGAGGAACAUUUCAGUUAGUCCAAAAUCAAUAUAUGGAGGAAAGAUGAAUAUUGAAAUUCAGUCUGAUGAUCUAUGUUCGGAAGCAUAUGUCAUGUUCAACAUGUUUGUGGGACUAUGCGUCCCCAGAAAAAAAUGAAUGAGACCAAAAAAGAAAUGCUAAGUCAAGAUCAGGCACCUAACCAGCACCUUUUGAGAUACAGAUCCAUGUGUCUGGGCCAAACCCUAUCCAUUUAAUGACCGAGAGUUAAGUAAGGUGGUGUCGUUGGAACAUAAAAGGUCCAAGAGGUCAACCGGGAUUGAAUCAGGCCCCACUCAAUUCAGACCCAAUUCAAUAUGUUUAACCGCAAGUUGGGUGUGCAGCCAGCAGAUGGCUAAAAGGAAAGACAAGAGGAAACAUAUUGGUAGGCAACUACGCCAAGUGGUCCAAAAGACACAUCAAAGGAACAGAAAGUGAGGAGACUUGGGUAGCAGACAACUAUAGGUAACUAGCACAGUUAGUAAAAGAUUUUUCUUUUUUAAGGAAAAAAGCAAGGAAAAUCCUGCAUUUAAUCGAUGAACAGUUAAGUAACAUGACCUAACCUUCCUCUUCUUUUAAAAGGAAAGAAUUUUUAUUAUGGACCUUACCGAUAGGUUUAAGUUUCCUAGUCUCAUGAAUUUAACUGGGCUACACCUGUGAUAGCUAGCCUAUUUCAAAUAAUAUAGUCCACUAAAAUGUAACCAAAAUCAGAAGCACAGCACCACUAGUAUUGAAUGCCUAGGAUAGAGAACUUAGAAAUAGCAGCAAAGCUUACUACAAAUGUAUUGUUCUAACUUUCAAGCCCUGGUUCUGAAUACACGACAAAAGUUUAGCAAAUGUUAUAAAUCAAUAAUGACUUGAAUCAAUAAUGUCGUUUACAAUUUAUUGACCAAUUUAUAGACAAAACACCAUUAUUAAACUGCAUGAGUAGAAUUUUGACAUGACUCAACCAUGGCAUCUACAAUUUACUGAUCAAUCAUGCACCAAGUACCACUAUCAACAUUCCGUGAGUAGAACUUUAGACAAACAAUGUCCAUAUAUGAUUGAAAAAACCUGUCAUAAAAGCAGUCCAUGUCUCCAAUGAAUAAUCCACUUAUUGAUUUUUCUUUUCAAUUUUCAACUAGGACAAAGAAAGCAACAUAAAUCACCCCCAUCAGCAUCUCAAAUUACUUCACGAAAAUCAGAAGGACAAAGAAUUCUCAGAAAAGGCCCAUCUAGUUUGAGAUUUACUCUGCUACUAGAUUUUGUCUUUUUCAUCACAGCAGGCAAAUCUUUUCUCACAGAGUUAACAAUGACCUUCAAUAAUUCAUAGAUCUAAACUUAAGGAACUUGGCCUUUUAAAAUAUGCAGAAGCCAACCCAUAAUGAAGUGCUUAAUCUUCUUGAUGACAUCACAUCUUCACUAAGCUACUCUCGUGUUAGCUUUCAAAGAUAUUAAAUAAUAGGUAGAUAUCUCUCACUAACACCUUUUAGUUGUUAUCUUGAUUGCUAGAACAUGGCUGAAAACAAGCUAUUUCUUUCUUUUCCAAGGGAAUUAGUA